Molecule: ribosomal RNA, 252 nt
Filed under: uncultured Bacteroidales bacterium
Lineage: Bacteria; Pseudomonadati; Bacteroidota; Bacteroidia; Bacteroidales
Description: partial 16S ribosomal RNA
Rfam family: Bacterial small subunit ribosomal RNA
Source: RNAcentral
UACGGAGGAUGCGAGCGUUAUCCGGAUUUAUUGGGUUUAAAGGGUGCGCAGGCGGAUUUUUAAGUCAGCGGUCAAAUCGUGGGGCUCAACCCCAUCCAGCCGUUGAAACUGGGGAUCUAGAGUGUGCGAGAGGUAUGCGGAAUGCGUGGUGUAGCGGUGAAAUGCAUAGAUAUCACGAAGAACCCCGAUUGCGAAGGCAGCCUGCCGCAGCGUUACUGACGCUGAAGCUCGAAAGCGCGGGUAUCGAACAGG